Long non-coding RNA from Chelonia mydas (Green sea turtle), 4760 nucleotides. RefSeq lists it as uncharacterized. The record is from RefSeq and is a predicted model, not a curated record. The transcript has 2 exons. Lineage: Eukaryota; Metazoa; Chordata; Testudines; Cheloniidae.
UGCUGGAGAAAAGGGAUUUGUCCUGGGAUCUGCCACGUCCCUGGUGAGUUCCCUGAAGCAGGCAGGGGUCUCCCUCAGUCUCCUGUCAAAGCUGUUCCCCUGUUGAGCAAUAAUGAAAUAACAGACUGAGCACGAAACCAUGAGUGAUGCUUUAGCCUGCUGCUCAGAGCAUGCAUGCGGGAGGUGGGAGACCCAGGAUCUAGAGGAACAGCUUCAGCAGCUCAGACUGCCCCAUAGCCCAGGGGCUCUCACUCUUUUCCUUUCUGAACUCCGCCCCUCUCCCUCCAACAUGCUCUUAAAAACUCCACAGCCCAGUUGUGCCACAACCAUUUUUCUGCAUAUAAACACCAGGGCCAGUGUUAGAGGGUAGCAAAGAGGGGAAUUGCCUGGGGCCCCAAACUAAAGGGGGAACUGCAAAGCUAAGGUGCUCAGGCUUCAGCUUCAGCCCUGGGUGCUGAGACUCGGGGCCCCAGGCUGCAGUUCCAUGUGGCAGGGCUUUGGCUCUCUGCCCUGGGGCCUAGCGAGUUUAAUGCCAGCCAAGCUUGGCAGACCCCACCCGGAGCCCUGGUUGAGAAGCACUGCCAGAGCCCAUUGGUUAGGGCCCGGAUCUGAGAGGUGGCAGAUCCCAGUUCAAAUCCCUGCUGCCCCGCAGGUGGUAGGCGAACUUGAGCCAGGGGGGUCUCACACACCCCUCAUGAGUACCCAAACACCUGGGCUACAAGUUAUGAGGUAGCAACUCCUCUUCUGUUUUGGGUCAUCUCACCGAUAGGGGCCCAAUCCAGCAGACGAGGUCUGAAUGUGCUUACCAGCACAGUCCCCACCAGGAAGAGUCAGAGGAGCAAUCUCUCUUUCCCCAUCCGUGCUGAGGGGCUGCAGGGUGCUUGCUCAGAAACGGGGGCACCUGCAGGGCCCGGGAGCAGGUGAGCAAGGUUUGGUGAAUCCCGGCAGGGCCUAAGUCCUUUUGUGAAUCCAGCCCACUGUCUAGGUGUGUGUGUGUGUAUUGUGGGUCACUGAGUAGCACCAUGGCUAGUUAGUAUAAUCCGUACACACCACAUUAUUCUCCCACUUUGCCCCCACUGCCCAGCUCAUGCCAGAAAACAAUGGCGUCAUUGAAGACAACAAUGAGGAGAGUAGCCGCAUAGUGCCAGCAGACGCACCUGGUGCUGAGCAUGAUGUUUCCAUCAUCCGUCUGGUCCCCGUCCAGCCAUUCCCAUGAGUGCUCAACAGGGUCACAACCAGGGUGAUGUGACGGGAACAGAAUGACUGACCUGCCGGAACCGGGAUCCCGCGUGAGGAGAGCAUGGGUGCUGAAGAGCUGCAGGACAGGGGUGGCGUGGGAUGAACACUUCCAGCCAAAGGCUGAGGGCAUCGCCGCCCAGGGCAGCGAUCAGCAGCAAGUGGACGUGCUGCUGCAGGGCGGAGCGGCUACAGACGUGCAAGUGGAACAGGAAGUCUGCCAAAAUUCAAACCCUAUUGUUCAAGUAAUAAUGUCACUGAGCUGGUGAAUCACCAAGGACUGGUCCCCAAGCGUGCAUGGAGGUUGGGCUACCAUAAUGGUGUUGCUGUGUUUCCCCCCCCGUUGCAUGUAUGUGCAAACUGCUCCUCAGGAAAGGUAAAUGAGCACGCCACAUGCUCAAGUGUGAUGGAACAAAUCAUAGAGGGGAUGGCUUCCCCCCCAUAGAUAGUCUACUCGAGUUGUAGGGAAAGGGGUAACCCAUCCUACAUGCUACGAAAAGCACCACCACCACAUUAUUUACUGUACCUGCAGCCAUGUGGUUUGACUGUUUCCCCUCUGUGUGAAAACCCCGUAGUGAUACAUUGGGUUACUAACCUUCAACAAACGUAGCCUGGGCGAAUAGAAAGCGAUCCAGCCCCCCGGGGCUACUUGAGAUGGAAAUAGGUGAGCAUGUCCACCUUGCCUGGGAAUAGGACGGAGAGGUACAUAAUCGAAUACUGCCAGGUGUUCAUGGGAACCCGGGUACGCUCCUUCCCAGGGUACAGAUGCAAAUGGAGGCCAGUGGGGACAAACUGCUCAGCCAGCAUGCCUAGGGAUAGAGGCAUAUGUUUGGCUAGAAAAGAGGCAAACUCAGGGUAGAGCAAUAGUCUAGCUUUGGCAACUCCGUGCCAGGACAGGGUGACAGAGGAUUAAUAUCCAUUAGCUCAAAUGCAUGUACCAUAGGUAGUGUUUCAAGACACUUCACAGAUCGGGUUGGAAAGGAGGAAGGAAAGCAUUGGUACUUUCCUCAGGCUCCACCCACUUCAGAGGUUUCUUGCUGUGAAUGGUAUAGGUCUUUAUCAUAUGGUCAUUCCCCAUCUGUCUUGCAAGUACUAAUAUUUAGGACACUUUACAUGCCAGCAUCCAUGCCAGAACUCGCCAGCAUUGGCAAAGGAUGCUAACAAACAUGUGUUUUAAAUACUUGUAUUUAUAUGGAAUGUAGGAACCUAGGUUCCAUUGAACUUCAUUGGGAUUUAGGCUCCCAAAUCAUGUAGGGACCCUUUUGAAAAAUGUUAUCCAUAGUCUAAAUUUUCAAAAGAGAUUAGUGAUUUUGGGUGCCUCUGUUUCCAGGUGAGAUGAAUAGGGCGCAGUUUUCAGAAAACAAUGAGCCGUCUGAAAGAACAGGCCCCUUUAAGAGGCAUUUUGAAUCCAUAGUUAGGCACUUAAUGGGAUGAUUUUUGGAAGUGGCUGAAAAUUAUACUUAGGAAAAUUAUACUUAGGAAAAUUAUUCUCAACAUGCAUCUAAGAUUUACCAUGACUCAGUUUCCACACAAGCAUUCCUCUAUUAAUGUUGGUUGCAUCCAAAAUAUCAAUAUAAGCGUAUACACCCUUAUAGUGUAUAUCCUUGUAACAAUACAGUUAUAAGCAUUGGCCAAAUACUCAUAACUGCAUCGGGUCUGGGAGACACCUUCCCACCAUGGCGUGACUCCAGAGGAGUAAGGAAAAGCUCUGACAAAGAAUCCCUAGAAAGAAUUGUUUUUAUAUACACUAUAAUGAACAAAUGAUGUCGUUACUGGACUUGAGCUAAAGUCAGCUGAAGCAGUUUUAGGGUUGCACUCUGCUAUCUUCAAGGUUUUCCCCUUUUCUCACUUUGCCAUAUUUUUUCCAGCUACUGGACUAAGCAUUUCUAAUCAAUAAUUUACUGUACCAGUUGCCCAAUUAACCAUGUUUUUUUAUUUCCCAAACCUUAAAUAAGAUAACACUGGUAUUCCAAAGGGUCGCUACAAAGUUUAACACACACAAUCCUGCUUUCUUGUGAGUCCAUUUCUUUUGGUCACAUGCUUUGGGCCUAUUUCUCCUGGUCAUAGCCAAAGUCAAUUUAAAACCAUAGUUCACUCAGGCCAAAUAUGGACCAUGUUCCUACAGUGCACACAAAUCCCAUUGAAACUUCUUUUUGCUAUCAAUGAGAUUUGUGCUCCAUAAAUCACUUUAGGAGCUUUUGAAAAUUGCACUGUAAUUAUGGAGUGAUGGGCCUCUUUUUGAAAAUUCUGGCCAUGUGUUAGGUUGGGCACCCAAAAGCGGAGGCACCAAAAAUGGCUACUCACUUUGAAAAUGAAUUAUUAUUAUUAUUAUGGGUAAAAUUUUCAACAGGACUUAAAUAACUUAGCAGCCAAAGUCCCAUUUUCAGAAAGGACUUAGGCACUGAGGAGCCGAAACUCAGUGCUCCUGUCAUUUAGAUGCUUUUGAAAAUAUUACGCUAUAUUUUAUGCGCACACACAAAAUAUCAAUAGAAUUAAAGUACUCCGACGUAUGGCAUUUUUUUAAGCAGGCCAUGCUUGGGGAGUUUGAAGAGUUAGCAACAAGCCAUUUUUAAGAUAUAGGGAUCCAGAGCCAUACUGGACACCUUGAAUCCAAUAUUUUACAGCACCUUUAUAACAUUAUACCUAACACACAGGUUAAACAGUUUACUUCAUACUUUCAGAAACACAAUUUUCCAUAUAGCCUGAGAAGCACUAUGAACACAGAGGCCCAACGCAUUUUUUGCUACGCCAAGUCAUAAGGGAAGGUGUAAAUAAGACAUUUAAUGGAACCUUGACCACAACAUUGACGAAUGGAGACACUAAUUGUCCCUCUAUAAUACUAAUACAUACACAGGUGCCCUCUCCUGGUAAACUGUGGGGCGUUAUGGGUCAGUUUUGUAUAUUGCUGUGUCUCGGCAUGUUUUUUGGUAGUAAACGUUAUGUUAGAUUAACAUGAAUUCGCUUACUGGCAGCAGGCAAGAAUUUAAGAAACUUACCCACAAAGGAGAAAAUAAGUUUGCCAGCAGCGUCAACAAACUCCAGACUCUGGUAACACCUGUUUGUGCAGCAGGUUUUAUUCAGUCUCAUCAGCGGGUAGUUCAGAGACCACCACAAUCCAAGCAUAAGGAUUAAAGCAUCAGGAAGGGCGUGGCCACCAAAAAUUCCCCAGCUCUACGCCAGCUCACUGGAAACCUGGACCUAAAAGGCAAAAACAGGCAUUUCAAUAGUUCCAUGUACAGUAGCGCUGAGCAAAUAAUGGAUUGAUUUUUUUUUUUUGAUUGAAGCUGACCCUGGGAAUCCAGGGGAAAAUAAAAAUCCAGGGAAAUUUGAACAAAAACCAGGUUUUUUUUGCUAUUCUUUGUCAAAUCAAAAAUCUUGAAAACAUUUGAUUUUGAAUCAACUAAAUCAUUUCAAGUAGAUUUUAACAGAAUUUUGGAGAGUUUUCUGUUUGUUUCCAGUUAAUCAAAACGUUUUGAAAUUAAUCAAAAUGAAUUUGACAAAAAUGCUCUUGAUUUUUUUGGUCC